GCUGGAGUGCAGUGGUGCAAUCUCAGCUCACCAAUACCUCCGCCUCCCCUGUUCAAACGAUUCUCCUGCCUCAGCCUCCCGAGUAGCUGGAACUAUAAGCAUGUGCCACCACACCCAGCUAAUUUUUUGUAUUUUUAGUAGAGACAGGGUUUCACCGUGUUAGCCAGGCUGUCUUGAACUCCUGGCCUCAAGUGAUCUGCCCAGCUCGGCCUCCCAAAGUGCUGGGAUUACAGGCAUGAGCCACCGCACCUGGCCUAAACAUUGUUAACAAACAUGGGCAGAGAACACGUUUCUUCGAAAUCCCCCAAAGAUGAAGAGCUACAUUUUAUUUCCAGGCUGUUCUGGUGCUUCUACAGGAGAGUGUGGGGUAUGCAGUUUCAGGAUGAGUCAGUGAGCCUCGCAAGAAUGCGCUGAGUGAACGGGAAAGACUGCAGUGCAGAAGGACAUAUGGGGAAACCUUCAAAUCGUCAUUUCAUCACCCAGAUGUGCACCCAAGUAAUCAGAAUCCAAGGCGAAUCUAGAAUGCCAUCAAGUGCCAUCACAAAGUCCUUCCAUAGGAGAGAGAAAGAAAUUCCCACCGGAGGCAAGCAAAGAGGGCUGCUUGAAGGAGGCAGGGGCAUGUAACCUGGCCUCGGGAGAUGAGUAAAAUCUCAGCUGGUGGAGGAGGAAUGGGACCCGAGGCAUGAAGCAUCAGGGUAGCUUGGGUCGGCCUCAUCUCCCCAGCCUGGGAUUGGGGAAGGCAGAAGGGAGAUCUAUACCCUAGAACCUCAACCAAGGAGGUUGGACUUCCCCAGAAUGAGGGCAGGGAGGAAGCUGUGGAAUAUUUUGGAGGAAGGAGUGACACGAUGAGAUGCCGCAGGCCAGUGGGGAGUCAUGCAGAGACACAUGUAGAAACGGCC
RNAcentral lists this long non-coding RNA (899 nucleotides) under Homo sapiens (human). Its description in RNAcentral is "HSALNT0231298". Lineage: Eukaryota; Metazoa; Chordata; Mammalia; Primates; Hominidae. The record is from RNAcentral.